This 236-nucleotide ribosomal RNA is filed under the name uncultured bacterium. RNAcentral describes it as "partial 16S ribosomal RNA". It matches the Rfam family "Bacterial small subunit ribosomal RNA", at positions 100 to 334 of the family's 1533-position model. The record is from RNAcentral.
CGGGACGGGUGAGUAACGCGUGAGGAACCUGCCUUGAAGAGGGGGACAACAGUUGGAAACGACUGCUAAUACCGCAUGAAGCAUAGGGGUCGCAUGAUCUUUAUGCCAAAGAUUUAUCGCUUCAAGAUGGCCUCGCGUCUGAUUAGCUAGUUGGCGGGGUAACGGCCCACCUAGUCUUCGAUGGAUAGGGGUUCUGAGAGGAAGGUCCCCCACAUUGGAACUGAGACACGGUCCAA